This 565-nucleotide ribosomal RNA is filed under the name uncultured Comamonas sp. RNAcentral's name for it is "bacterial SSU rRNA". It matches the Rfam family "Bacterial small subunit ribosomal RNA", at positions 1 to 586 of the family's 1533-position model. Lineage: Bacteria; Pseudomonadati; Pseudomonadota; Betaproteobacteria; Burkholderiales; Comamonadaceae. The record is from RNAcentral.
CGCCCUUAGAGUUUGAUCAUGGCUCAGAUUGAACGCUGGCGGCAUGCCUUACACAUGCAAGUCGAACGGUAGUCUUCGGAUACGAGUGGCGAACGGGUGAGUAAUACAUCGGAACGUGCCUAGUAGUGGGGGAUAACUACUCGAAAGAGUGGCUAAUACCGCAUGAGAUCUACGGAUGAAAGCAGAUCGUUGUGCUACUAGAGCGGCCGAUGGCAGAUUAGGUAGUUGGUGGGAUAAAAGCUUACCAAGCCGACGAUCUGUAGCUGGUCUGAGAGGACGAUCAGCCACACUGGGACUGAGACACGGCCCAGACUCCUACGGGAGGCAGCAGUGGGGAAUUUUGGACAAUGGGCGCAAGCCUGAUCCAGCAAUGCCGCGUGCAGGAUGAAGGCCUUCGGGUUGUAAACUGCUUUUGUACGGAACGAAAAGCCCUGGGUAAUCCUGGGGGAUGACGGUACCGUAAGAAUAAGCACCGGCUAACUACGUGCCAGCAGCCGCGGUAAUACGUAGGGUGCGAGCGUUAAUCGGGAUUACUGGCGUAAAGCGUGCGCAGGCGGGUUUGUAA